UACGGAGGGUGCAAGCGUUAAUCGGAAUUACUGGGCGUAAAGCGCGCGUAGGCAGUUUGGUCAGUUGGAUGUGAAAGCCCAGGGCUCAACCUUGGAAUUGCAUUCAAUACUGCCAGGCUAGAGUACAAGAGAGGGAGGUAGAAUUUCUAGUGUAGCGGUGAAAUGCGUAGAUAUUAGAAGGAAUACCAGUGGCGAAGGCGGCCUCCUGGCUCGAUACUGACGCUGAGGUGCGAAAGCGUGGGGAGCAAACAGG
RNAcentral lists this unclassified non-coding RNA (253 nucleotides) under uncultured Spongiibacteraceae bacterium. RNAcentral describes it as "contains 16S-23S intergenic spacer region". It matches the Rfam family "Bacterial small subunit ribosomal RNA", at positions 524 to 776 of the family's 1533-position model. The record is from RNAcentral. Lineage: Bacteria; Pseudomonadati; Pseudomonadota; Gammaproteobacteria; Cellvibrionales; Spongiibacteraceae.